Molecule: long non-coding RNA, 1075 nt
Filed under: Homo sapiens (human)
Lineage: Eukaryota; Metazoa; Chordata; Mammalia; Primates; Hominidae
Description: HSALNT0301677
Source: RNAcentral
CCAGCAGCUGCCUGUAGAGGAACCAAAAACAAUUUUUUUUUUAAUCAACCCUCACUCUGGUCUUCAUGGAAAGCUGCCUACUUUGCUGUUGGGCCUCUCAGAUUGCAUGUUUGAUCUAUCAGGAACUGGCCUUCCUCCACCAACUCAGAAUUCUCUCUAGUCUGAGUCUCGCUCUGUCACCCAGGCUGGAGUACAAUGGCACGAUCUCUACUGCUCACUACAACCUCCACUUCCCAGGUUCAAGAGAUUCUCCCACCUCAGCCUCCCGAGUAGCUGGAAUUACAGGUGUGCACCACCAUGUCCGGCUAAUUUUUGUACUUUUAGUAGAGAUGGGGUUUCACCAUAUUGGCCAGGACUGGUCUCAAACUCCUGACCUCAAGUGAUCCGCCCACCUCGACCUCCCAAAGUGUUGGGAUUAUAGGCGUGAACUACCAUGCCCGGCCAAUGUUAUUUCUAUUUAAGUCAAAAUUGUGUGAGGGGAGGCUAAUUGCUAUAACAAGCCCCAAAUCUCAGUGACUUAUCACAGUAAAUAUUCAUUUGUCACUCAAAUCAGAGACCACUGAAAUUGAAUGAGGUAUGUGUAUGUAUGUGAGAGGUCUGCUUCAUGCAGUCACUCAAGGACCCAGGAUCCAUCCACCUAGUGGUUCUAGACUCUUCUAGUGCUUCAGAGUCCUCUAUGCAGAGCCCUGCCAUCCCCCAGCAGAAUGGGAAUAAGAUAAUAUGCCGGAUUGUGGAGAGGGUCCUGAGGCCAGCCCUGGAAAAGAUCCUCAUCACUUCCAUCCACAUUUCAUGGCUCCAGCUCACUGCAAGAAAGCUGGUAAGUGUCAUCUAGCUGUGUGUCAGAAAUGAAGAGAAGGAACAGAGAUACUGGUGAGCACCACCAUUUCCCACCUGAAAAUAGGUAAUGAAUUUUCAUUUGAAUGACACAGCAGUUGCAUGAUACAUAGGACAUGAGCACAAAAUAUCAGUAUUCUAAAGAACAUCAUAAUACCAGGAUUUACAUUCAAAUGAGUGAUGUCCAUUUGCCAGCAGUUACCUGGAAAAGCUGUCUGCUUUUUCCAUGGAUACCAUUAAU